This is a non-coding RNA of Camelina sativa (false flax), 776 nucleotides long. The record is from RefSeq and is a predicted model, not a curated record. NCBI's taxonomy places the organism in Eukaryota, Viridiplantae, Streptophyta, Magnoliopsida, Brassicales, Brassicaceae.
AUUGUAGAAAGUGAGACUGCGUAAUAUUAAAAGUCGAAGCGAAUUAAAGAUACUACAUGCACUUGGAAAAAAGAGUUUGGCAAGAAAAGCUUAUGAGAUUGAAGAGGAGACUGGCAAAGAACCAAGUCGAGCAGAAAUGUUCAUUGCAUCACGAACAAGAUCAGAUGGAAAUUUCAUUUGCAAUGAAGCAAGGAUAUCUGCAGAUAAGCUUACACAAGUAAUGAAUCAAAAUAUUAAAAGUGAAGCAUCAAGUAGUGAGUCUGGUCCUAAGGAUGCAUUUGAACAAGUAUUUGGUUCCGAGCAUUCUGGAAGAGUUCGAUGUGUGGGACGUGGUCCAACACCGUCCAAAUACUUUCAGAAUUUGGAAUCGCAGGUAAGAAGUAACUCUGAGAUACUUGAGCUGAAGUCUCGCAUGAAAGGACUUGAAGAUAAACUUGAUAUCGUGGCUAACGCUCUUCAGAUUAUUAUUUCAAACAAUCAAUUUCAAACUAGUACGACAGAGACUAAGAUUGACUAGAAUGAUCAUAAAGUGACGUGAUAUGGAAUUUAGUGAAGAAUGGAGACAAUGAUUUCAUCUAGCCUUUUGAUAGAAGAUGAAGGACAAGAAAAUAUAGAAGAUGAAGGACAAGAAAAUAUAGAAGAGGAUAUAUAAAAGAUAGAUUUUAAUGCAAUGUUAUUUACUUUUACAUUUUUUAUUAUCAUGUACACAAGAACACAAGUAUAUUUGAGACAGAUUAAUUGAUUUUUAUCACUUGAUGAAUAUUGUGUUCUGGUUA